GACUCCGUAGCUCAGUUGGUAGAGCAGUGGCCUUUUAAGCCAUUGGUCGAGCGUUCGAGUCGCUCCGGAGUCA
This 73-nucleotide transfer RNA is filed under the name Fidelibacterota bacterium. RNAcentral's name for it is "tRNA-Lys". It matches the Rfam family "tRNA". From Rfam's summary of the family: Transfer RNA (tRNA) molecules are approximately 80 nucleotides in length. Their secondary structure includes four short double-helical elements and three loops (D, anti-codon, and T loops). Further hydrogen bonds mediate the characteristic L-shaped molecular structure. tRNAs have two regions of fundamental functional importance: the anti-codon, which is responsible for specific mRNA codon recognition, and the 3' end, to which the tRNAs corresponding amino acid is attached (by aminoacyl-tRNA synthetases). tRNAs cope with the degeneracy of the genetic code in two manners: having more than one tRNA (with a specific anti-codon) for a particular amino acid; and 'wobble' base-pairing, i.e. permitting non-standard base-pairing at the 3rd anti-codon position. RNAcentral also lists the same sequence under 2 other names. The record is from RNAcentral. Lineage: Bacteria; Pseudomonadati; Fidelibacterota.